Molecule: long non-coding RNA, 1628 nt
Organism: Mobula hypostoma (lesser devil ray)
Lineage: Eukaryota; Metazoa; Chordata; Chondrichthyes; Myliobatiformes; Myliobatidae
Exons: 3
Source: RefSeq, a predicted model, not a curated record
UUAACGGAAUGCUUUUACAAUGCCAGGGACUGUGACCCGCCUUCAAUUCCACUGCUGUCUAUAAGGAGUUUGUACAUUCUCCCUGUGACCGCGUGGGUUUCCUCCGAAUGCACCAGCAACCUUCCGCAUUCCGAAGCUCGUUUCAGAGCAAGAGACACUUAUAUAAGACGAAGUAUGGAGCAGUGUACCCUGUGGAGCAUCCUGAGGGGAUUUGGAGAGUGUGAUCGAACAGAAGCUUGACGCCAAGACAAACAACACACAAAAUUCUGGAGGAACUCAGCAGAUCUAGUUUUUACUCCAACCCUCCACUUUCCUGGGAUCAAGCGCUCCAAUUCCUCUAUUUCCUAAGAAAGCUAGGGAAAUUUGGAACGUCGCCGUUAACCCUCAUAAAUUUUUAUUGAAAGCAUCCAUAUCCAGAUUCAUCACAGCCUGGUACGGCAGACUGCUUUGCCUGAGACCGCAAGUAACUGCAGAGUUGUGGACCCCACCCAGUAUGCCACAGAAACCAGCCUCUACCCCAUGGACUCCCUCUACGCUUCUGGCUACCUCAUUAAAGCAUCCAAAGUAAUCAAAGACUUAUCCCGCCCCCAGUCAUUUGUUCUCCCUCGUUCCAUCAGGCAGAUACUUGAAAUCACUGGGCUCAAGGACAGUUUCUACCUCACUGAUUAGGAUAUGUAAAUGGACCUCUUGUGCAAUAAAGAUGAAAUCUUGAUCUGUAACUUUACCUCGUUGUGACCCUUGCACCUUAUUAUCUACCUGCAUUGUACUUUCUCUGUAACUGUAGAACUAUAUUCCACAUUCUGCUAUUGUUUUUGCAUUUGUACUGCUUCAGAGUAUUCAUGUUGAAGAGAUCUGUGUGGAUAAUGUGCAAAGCGAAGGUUCUCACUGGAACACAGUGCAUGUGAUAGGAAACCACUUCCUGUCCAAUGGAUAAAAUGAGUUUGGGAAGGAGAGACAGCAGAGAAAAUGUGACAGAAUUAGUAAAGAGAAAUGAAGAAGCUUAUUUUUCUAUGAAGUGGAAUCCUUGAACCCUUCGUAGUUGUCAUUAGAAACGGUAAGGAGGCAACAGGAGAACCUCCCCUGCAAAUCUGCUGGGGCUGGUUGUCUGUUGUGUCCGGUGCUCCUGCUAUAUUGGUGAGGUCCGUGACAAAUUGGGGGACGGCUUCGUCGAGCACCUCCGCUCCAAACUUGCUGGUGAUCAAACAUUUUAAUUCUGAUUCCAGUUUCCAUUCCGACAUGUUGGUCCAUGGCCUCCUCUUGUGCCAAGAUGAGGUCACCCUCAGGGUGGAAGAGCAACAGCUUACAUUCCAUCUGGGUAGCCUCCAACUUGAGGGCCUGAAUAUUGAUUUCUCCUUCCGGUUAUAAAACAUUCCCUCCCCACUCCCCUCUUCUUCUAUUCCCUACACUGGCCUCUUGCCUUUGCUCACCUGCCCUUCACUUCCCCCUGGGUUCCCUCCUCCUUCCCUUUCUCCUAUGUCCACUCUCCUCUCCUAUCAGAUUCCUUCCUCUCCGGCCCUUGACCUUUCCCAUCCACCUGGCUUCACCUAUCACCGUCCAGCUACCCUCCUUCCCCUCCCCCCACCUUUUUAUUCUGGGGUCUUCCCCCUUCCUGAAGAAGAGUUUUGGUC